This 393-nucleotide ribosomal RNA is filed under the name uncultured bacterium. RNAcentral's name for it is "partial 16S ribosomal RNA". It matches the Rfam family "Bacterial small subunit ribosomal RNA", at positions 523 to 918 of the family's 1533-position model. The record is from RNAcentral.
AUACGGAGGAUGCGAGCGUUAUCCGGAUUUAUUGGGUUUAAAGGGUGCGUAGGCGGAGGAGUAAGUCAGGGGUGAAAUGCCGCAGCUCAACUGCGGAACUGCCUUUGAUACUGCUUUUCUGGAGUUCGGAUGCCGUGGGAGGAAUGGGCAGUGUAGCGGUGAAAUGCAUAGAUAUUGCCCAGAACACCGAUUGCGAAGGCAUAUCACAAAUCCGGGACUGCCGCUGAGGAACGAAAGCGUGGGGAUCAAACAGGAUUAGAUACCCUGGUAGUCCACCCAGUAAACGAUGAAAACUAACCGUCGGCGAUAGAAUGUCGGUGGCCAAGCGAAAGCAAUAAGUUAUCCACCGGGGGAGUACGUUCGCAAGAAUAAAACUCAAAGGAAUUGACGGGG